RNAcentral lists this ribosomal RNA (847 nucleotides) under uncultured eukaryote. Its description in RNAcentral is "SSU rRNA". It matches the Rfam family "Eukaryotic small subunit ribosomal RNA", at positions 582 to 1456 of the family's 1831-position model. The record is from RNAcentral.
AUUCCAGCUCCAAUAGCGUAUAUUUAAGUUGUUGCAGUUAAAAAGCUCGUAGUUGGAUUUCGGGUGGGUGUUAGCGGUCCGGCUCUGCUGUGUACUGCUAGUGCCUAUCUUUCUGUCGGGGACGGGCUCUUGGGCUUCAUUGUCCGGGACUCGGAGUCGACGUGGUUACUUUGAGUAAAUUAGAGUGUUCAAAGCAAGCGUUCGCUGUGAAUACAUUAGCAUGGAAUAACACGAUAGGACUCUGGCUUAUCUUGUUGGUCUGUAAGACCGGAGUAAUGAUUAAGAGGGACAGUCGGGGGCAUUCGUAUUUCAUUGUCAGAGGUGAAAUUCUUGGAUUUAUGAAAGACGAACUUCUGCGAAAGCAUUUGCCAAGGAUGUUUUCAUUAAUCAAGAACGAAAGUUGGGGGCUCGAAGACGAUUAGAUACCGUCGUAGUCUCAACCAUAAACGAUGCCGACUAGGGAUUGGCAGGUGUUUCGUUGAUGACCCUGCCAGCACCUUAUGAGAAAUCAAAGUUUUUGGGUUCCGGGGGGAGUAUGGUCGCAAGGCUGAAACUUAAAGGAAUUGACGGAAGGGCACCACCAGGCGUGGAGCCUGCGGCUUAAUUUGACUCAACACGGGGAAACUUACCAGGUCCAGACACGGGGAGGAUUGACAGAUUGAGAGCUCUUUCUUGAUUCUGUGGGUGGUGGUGCAUGGCGGUUCUUAGUUGGUGGGUUGCCUUGUCAGGUUGAUUUCCGGUAACGAACGAGACCUCAGCCUGCUAAAUAGUCACGGCUACUUUUUUGUAGCCGUCCGACUUCUUACAGGGACUAUUGUCGUUUAGCAAUGGAAGUGUGAGGCAAUAA